CUGUUUAUUUAAUAUGGUGCAUGUAUAAUUAAUUUGUCAAAAAUUGAAUGUAUAUCCUAUAAGCUGUACUUGCUUUUGGAAUAAAGUAAAGUAUUAUUAUUACAAUUAUAAUAAAUUGCUUUGUUGAGAACAGCUGGAUACCACCGCAGAUGUCAAACCCUGAAAAGUUUGGGCAAAAAUGGAUACAAUAUUCGCGCUUGAUACAGGUCUGAAAUUGGAUUGUAGUUAAAUAUUUGACACAUUAUAGGUUUCUGACACAGAAUAACUGUAGUAAAAGAAAUUAAAAUCAGUUAUAUGAUUUGAAUGUAUAUUCUAUUUUUUGCUUUUGUGCAAUACACUAUGCUGUUGAAUAUUAACCCAUCAAAAAAUAUUUUUUUU
RNAcentral lists this long non-coding RNA (378 nucleotides) under Mytilus galloprovincialis (Mediterranean mussel). Lineage: Eukaryota; Metazoa; Mollusca; Bivalvia; Mytilida; Mytilidae. The record is from RNAcentral.